RNAcentral lists this ribosomal RNA (222 nucleotides) under Escherichia coli. RNAcentral describes it as "partial 23S ribosomal RNA". It matches the Rfam family "Bacterial large subunit ribosomal RNA", at positions 1 to 214 of the family's 2925-position model. The record is from RNAcentral. Lineage: Bacteria; Pseudomonadati; Pseudomonadota; Gammaproteobacteria; Enterobacterales; Enterobacteriaceae.
GGGUUGUGAGGUUAAGCGACUAAGCGUACACGGUGGAUGCCCUGGCAGUCAGAGGCGAUGAAGGACGUGCUAAUCUGCGAUAAGCGUCGGUGAGGUGAUAUGAACCGUUAUAACCGGCGAUUUCCGAAUGGGGAAACCCAGUGUGUUUCGACACACUAUCAUUAACUGAAUCCAUAGGUUAAUGAGGCGAACCGGGGGAACUGAAACAUCUAAGUACACCGA